This 253-nucleotide ribosomal RNA is filed under the name uncultured bacterium. Its description in RNAcentral is "partial 16S ribosomal RNA". It matches the Rfam family "Bacterial small subunit ribosomal RNA", at positions 524 to 776 of the family's 1533-position model. The record is from RNAcentral.
UACAGAGGUCUCAAGCGUUGUUCGGAUUCAUUGGGCGUAAAGGGUGUGUAGGUGGCGUCGUAAGUCGGGUGUGAAAUUUCGGAGCUUAACUCCGAAACUGCAUUCGAUACUGCGGUGCUUGAGGACUGGAGAGGAGACUGGAAUUCAUGGUGUAGCAGUGAAAUGCGUAGAGAUCAUGAGGAAGACCAGUGGCGAAGGCGGGUCUCUGGACAGUUCCUGACACUGAGACACGAAGGCCAGGGGAGCAAACGGG